Daphnia pulex (common water flea) is the source of this 682-nucleotide long non-coding RNA. RefSeq lists it as uncharacterized. The transcript is spliced from 3 exons. The record is from RefSeq and is a predicted model, not a curated record. Lineage: Eukaryota; Metazoa; Arthropoda; Branchiopoda; Diplostraca; Daphniidae.
UGAAAAUCUUUCUAAAAAUCCAGUCACUUUUUUAUAUUAUUGAAAAUUCGAUCCGUUAAAUGAAUCGGUCGAUUCCUUCUUAACAGCCGGCUUUUAAAUGAAUUCCUAACUCAGUUACCAUUUACCUGACGCAAAAAGAAAUAAAAUGAACCUAUUUUUUUAAGUUAAUCAAUGACAUUUGACAAGGCUGCAUUGGGUUUUCAAAUUUUAGUCCGCUCCACAACAUACCCAGCCCCAACAAGUCUGGAUUGUCUGUCAGAUGACUUUAAAAUCAACACAAGAAGCAUUCUGGAUUUGUUUGCCUGAUAAGAAGAAAUUUUUACAGCACUCCCUGCCUAUUUACAAAUUGUGAAGAAAGAUCUACCAGAAGAUAGAUACAUAAUAACUCUUUUCAUUGAACACUCAUUUGAUAGUUCUGCCAGUGCUUAAAAACCCCUGAAAAGAAAUCAUGUUUGGAGUUCAACCUGCAGACGGGCCGGCCAGUUUGCAUGUCCUUCACGCUUGAAGGUCACGGGGAUCAUUCCGUAAAACUGUCAUGUGGUGGUGUAGAGGUUGGGUGAGAAUCGUGCAGUGGUGUAGAGGUUGGGUGAGAACGACACGUGUUGCAAUCAUUAUGAAACAGGUAUAAUAGCCGCAAGCCAUAACCAUUUGGUAUUCAUUUUGAUAUUGGUUUUUGUACACC